This 494-nucleotide ribosomal RNA is filed under the name uncultured bacterium. Its description in RNAcentral is "partial 16S ribosomal RNA". It matches the Rfam family "Bacterial small subunit ribosomal RNA", at positions 28 to 507 of the family's 1533-position model. The record is from RNAcentral.
GACGAACGCUGGCGGCGUGCUUAACACAUGCAAGUCGAACGGUGAAGCGCCUUCCUUUUUGGUGGGUGUGGAUGAGUGGCGAACGGGUGAGUAACACGUGAGUAACCUGCCCCCUUCUUCUGGAUAACCGCAUGAAAGUGUGGCUAAUACGGGAUAUUCUGGGUCUGUCGCAUGAUGGGUCUGGGAAAGAUAUUGUUUCGGUGGGGGAUGGGCUCGCGGCCUAUCAGCUUGUUGGUGGGGUGAUGGCCUACCAAGGCGGUGACGGGUAGCCGGCCUGAGAGGGUGGACGGUCACACUGGGACGGAGACACGGCCAAGACUCCUACGGGAGGCAGCAGUGGGGAGUAUUGAACAAUGGGCGCAAGCCUGAUGCAGCGACGCCGCGGGAGGGAUGGAGGCCUUCGGGUUGUGAACCUCUUUCGCCAGUGAAGCAGGCCUGCCUCGUUUGUGGGUGGGUUGACGGUAGCUGGAUAAGAAGCGCCGGCUAACUACGUG